Molecule: long non-coding RNA, 340 nt
Filed under: Mytilus galloprovincialis (Mediterranean mussel)
Lineage: Eukaryota; Metazoa; Mollusca; Bivalvia; Mytilida; Mytilidae
Source: RNAcentral
UUUGUAGUGUACUAUUCUUGGACAAGAACGGACUUACUUGCGUUAUCAUAUCCGAUGGCUGAAUUACACUUUGGUGGGGUUCGUGUUACUCUGGGUUUUUUUUUGGUAUUCGAUAAUGUGUUUUGUGCACUGUUGUUUAUCUUUUGGUUUUUUAUUUUCGAAUUAUGAGUUCAAUGUCCCUGUCGUAAAUAAACCCAUCAUAGAUACCAGGACCAAAUUUUGUAUAUACGCCAGACGCUCGUCUCGUCUACAAAAGACUCAUCAGUGACGCUCGAAUCCAAAAAAGUUAAAAAGGCCAAAUAAAGUACGAAGUUGAAGAGCAUUGAGGACCCUAAUUCCU